Molecule: transfer RNA, 65 nt
Filed under: Dipodomys ordii (Ord's kangaroo rat)
Lineage: Eukaryota; Metazoa; Chordata; Mammalia; Rodentia; Heteromyidae
Rfam family: tRNA
About the family: Transfer RNA (tRNA) molecules are approximately 80 nucleotides in length.
Source: Rfam by way of RNAcentral
GGUGGCUCAGUGGUAGAGUGCUUGCCUUGAAUGCAUGAAGCCCUGGGUUCGAUUCCUGAGCACCA